RNAcentral lists this ribosomal RNA (78 nucleotides) under uncultured bacterium. RNAcentral describes it as "partial 16S ribosomal RNA". The record is from RNAcentral.
AGUCUGACGCAGCUAUGCCGCGAUGCAGUGACGAAGGCCUUAGGGUUGUAAAGCUCCCUUUAACAAGAAGAAAAUGUC